GGCGGCAGGCCUAACACAUGCAAGUCGAACGAACCCUUCGGGGUUAGUGGCGGACGGGUGAGUAACACGUGGGAACGUACCUUUAGGUUCGGAACAACACAGGGAAACUUGUGCUAAUGCCGAAUGUGCCCUUCGGGGGAAAGAUUUAUCGCCUUUAGAGCGGCCCGCGUCUGAUUAGCUUGUUGGUGAGGUAAAGGCUCACCAAGGCUACGAUCAGUAGCUGGUCUGAGAGGAUGAUCAGCCACACUGGGACUGAGACACGGCCCAGACUCCUACGGGAGGCAGCAGUGGGGAAUCUUGCGCAAUGGGCGAAAGCCUGACGCAGCCAUGCCGCGU
RNAcentral lists this ribosomal RNA (336 nucleotides) under uncultured Alphaproteobacteria bacterium. RNAcentral's name for it is "bacterial SSU rRNA". It matches the Rfam family "Bacterial small subunit ribosomal RNA", at positions 38 to 402 of the family's 1533-position model. The record is from RNAcentral. Lineage: Bacteria; Pseudomonadati; Pseudomonadota; Alphaproteobacteria.